This 253-nucleotide ribosomal RNA is filed under the name uncultured bacterium. RNAcentral describes it as "partial 16S ribosomal RNA". It matches the Rfam family "Bacterial small subunit ribosomal RNA", at positions 524 to 776 of the family's 1533-position model. The record is from RNAcentral.
GACGUAGGGUGCAAGCGUUAUCCGGAUUUACUGGGUUUAAAGGGUGCGUAGGCGGCCUCCCAAGUCAGUAGUGAAAGCUUGGUGCUUAACAUCAAAAGUGCUACUCGAUACUAGGAGACUUGAGUUAAGAAGAGGUAAGCAGAAUUUGUGGUGUAGCGGUGAAAUGCAUAGAUAUCACAAGGAAUACCAAUAGCGUAGGCAGCUUACUGGUCUUAUACUGACGCUGAGGCACGAAAGGCGGGGAGCAAACAGG